UGUGUAAGUGUUUUCAAAAAUAUAAUCUUCAGUCAAAAGAUAUGACUUUAAUAACAUCAACCGGUUUAAUAAUGGUGCGAUCAACAAAUAUAACAGAAAGAAUAAAAUACCAAUUUUCACUUAUUCAGCAUAAUGGGUAUAAAAGAUGUACAUAUGAUUAUUGUGAGUUGGAACAUUAUAAGGGAGUAUUGUCUCAAAGUUAGAAUAAAAUAUUUUUUAACUCUGACCAUGCAAGACUCUCAUGGGUAGUCAAGCCAGUCCUAUACUUUCAAUAUUGUCAGAACAGAUUAUUUGUUUUUGAAAAUGUUUGAAAAACAACAUUUAUUGCAAAAGAAGAAAAACAUCUAAAAAUGCACAUUUCUAUUUUAAUUUCUGUGUUCAACUUUCUAAAUUUAGAAUGUUUCAGUAAGUUUGUUUAAUAGCAGCUAUACCUUUAUUUUGUUUGCUUUAUUCAGAAUGACAAACAUUUGGAUUUUACUUUAAACUUUUCAACAACUGUUAACAUAGUUUUUCAUUUACAAUCUUAAACUAUCAAUUUUCAUGAAUAUUUAAUGAUAAUGAAAUAAAUCUAAAUUCAUAAUUUAUAAUUCAUAUUUAUAAUUACUAUGAUAGUGAUCUGUGACUAAUUGAAUGAUGAUAAAUUAAACAUUAAUACUGUAAUUCUGAUGGCAAGAUCAAUGAAAAUGAUUAAAUCAUCUUUCACACACAUAUUGCAGUACAACUGCAUACUGUGAAUUCAUUAAUAUUCAUUGGAUACCAAUUUUCAUGGAUUUUGUGGGUACAGGUAAACAACAA
RNAcentral lists this long non-coding RNA (795 nucleotides) under Mytilus galloprovincialis (Mediterranean mussel). Lineage: Eukaryota; Metazoa; Mollusca; Bivalvia; Mytilida; Mytilidae. The record is from RNAcentral.